GCUCAGGAUGAACGCUAGCGGCAGGCCUAAUACAUGCAAGUCGAACGGUGAUAGCAAUAUCAUAGUGGCGCACGGGUGCGUAACACGUAUGCAACCUACCUAUUAUUGGGGGAUAGCCUUUGGAAACGGAGAUUAAUACCGCAUAAUACGAUUGACUGGCAUCGGUUGAUUGUUAAAGCUUCGGCGAUAAUAGAUGGGCAUGCGUCCAAUUAGUUAGUUGGUUAGGUAACGGCUGACCAAGACGAUGAUUGGUAGGGGAUCUGAGAGGAUAAUCCCCCACACUGGCACUGAGAUACGGGCCAGACUCCUACGGGAGGCAGCAGUAGGGAAUAUUGGGCAAUGGGCGGAAGCCUGACCCAGCCAUGCCGCGUGCAGGAAGAAGGCGUUAUGCGUUGUAAACUGCUUUUUUAUAGGAAGAAGGAUCCCUUGCGAGGGAAGGUGACGGUACUAUAAGAAUAAGCACCGGCUAACUCCGUGCCAGCAGCCGCGGUAAUACGGAGGGUGCAAGCGUUGUCCGGAUUUAUUGGGUUUAAAGGGUGCGUAGGCGGUUUAUUAAGUCAGUGGUGAAAGACGGUCGCUNCACGAUUGCAGUGCCAUUGAUACUGGUAGACUUGAGUG
This 618-nucleotide ribosomal RNA is filed under the name uncultured bacterium. RNAcentral's name for it is "bacterial SSU rRNA". It matches the Rfam family "Bacterial small subunit ribosomal RNA", at positions 22 to 648 of the family's 1533-position model. The record is from RNAcentral.